Non-coding RNA from Ictidomys tridecemlineatus (thirteen-lined ground squirrel), 622 nucleotides. NCBI's taxonomy places the organism in Eukaryota, Metazoa, Chordata, Mammalia, Rodentia, Sciuridae. The record is from RefSeq and is a predicted model, not a curated record.
UCACAGGUCGGCCCUGUUGGAUGUGGGAAAAGCCUACAUAAAGACAGGGGGCGAGGAACACUGGGGACUAUUUGGGAGGCUGGCCUUCACAUUUCUUCGGAUUCCCCAUCUAUGGAGCAGGCACAGGAACCGCAUCCUACACCAGUGGAUAAGAACCGUGAAGCCAGUCGACAGACGAAAAGGCCCAAGGAGGUCAGUCCUGCUCACUUGUCACGACGGGCUCCUCUGGCCAUCUUGUCCUUUGCCCUGGAACAAGACCUGUGCUGGUUUCUUCAAGACGUUCAGUGAAUCCUCUAAACAAAGGAUCCCUUUCUUUGGUUGGAGAGCCAGUUGCUCUGGGCCUCAGUGAGGGCAGCCAGCCCCCAGCCCUCCCAGUAGGAAUCCCCCUGGAAGACAAGGCCUUGCUUUGACCUUUCACCUUUUGGCCUCCCGGCGAAGGACCAUUAACCAAACUGCUGUCCUCAGUUCUUUGUGGAGGAGAGUCUUUUGUCCAGCUGUCCUCUAAAAAGAAAACAUGUGGAGUGAUGGCUCCUAUCCCCAGGCCACAUCUGAUCACGGUGCCGCCAUCUUUGUUUUCCCAGGCCUUUCUAGUUUAUAAAAUUCUUUCAUGUGUGCAGUCUCA